UACAGAGGGUGCAAGCGUUGUUCGGAAUUAUUGGGCGUAAAGCGCGUGUAGGCGGCUUUGCAAGUCGGGUGUGAAAGCCCUCAGCUCAACUGAGGAAGUGCACUCGAUACUGGCAAGCUAGAGUCCCGGAGAGGAUGGUGGAACUCUCGGUGUAGAGGCGAAAUUCGUAGAUAUCGAGAAGAACACCGGUGGCGAAGGGCGGCCAUCGUGGACGGUGACUGACGCUGAGACGCGAAAGCGUGGGGAGCAAAACAGGAUUGAGAUACCGUU
Molecule: ribosomal RNA, 270 nt
Filed under: uncultured bacterium
Lineage: Bacteria
Description: partial 16S ribosomal RNA
Rfam family: Bacterial small subunit ribosomal RNA
Source: RNAcentral